UACGUAGGGGGCGAGCGUUGUCCGAAGUUACUGGGCGUAAAGCGCGCGUAGGCGGUUGCCUAAGUCUGGGGUGAAAGGUUCAGGGCUUAACCCGAACAGUGCCUUGGAUACUGGGCGACUUGAGUGCCGAAGAGGAAAGCGGAAUUCCUGGUGUAGCGGUGAAAUGCGUAGAUAUCAGGAGGAACACCGAUGGCGAAGGCAGCUUUCUGGUCGGCAACUGACGCUGAGGUGCGAAAGCGUGGGGAGCGAACGGG
Molecule: ribosomal RNA, 254 nt
Filed under: uncultured bacterium
Lineage: Bacteria
Description: partial 16S ribosomal RNA
Rfam family: Bacterial small subunit ribosomal RNA
Source: RNAcentral